Long non-coding RNA from Phlebotomus papatasi, 1423 nucleotides. RefSeq lists it as uncharacterized. The transcript is spliced from 2 exons. The record is from RefSeq and is a predicted model, not a curated record. Lineage: Eukaryota; Metazoa; Arthropoda; Insecta; Diptera; Psychodidae.
AUCACUCGAGUCUUUAUAGCAGUUGCAAAUUGUCAAUUGGGAUCAUGAGACCAAUAUUUGGAACGUUAUUAUUAAUUUUAGUUGUAUUUUCUUACAAAUGUUAUGGAGGAGAUACAAUUUUGUAUAGGAUAUCAGGAAGGAUCUUUUACUUAUCGAGAACUGCAGUUGACUGGGUAACAGCAGUUCAAGAAUGUGAAAAACAAAUGAUGGUUCUUGUAUCAAUAAGAUCUGAGGAGGAAAAUAAAGCAUUGGCACAGUUUCUGCGACCCAGGACUAUUACUGCUUGGAUUGGUGGAUACAACUACGAGGAUGAUGAUCAAUGGCGAUGGAUUGAAGAUGGAAAUGUCUUUAACUACACCAAUUGGGAUAUAAAUGCACCAACUGAGAAAUCUAAGAGCUGUGCCCAAAUAAUGCGAGUACCUUAUGGAAAAUGGUUAGAUGAGCCUUGUAAUGUGAAGAAGAAAUUUGUAUGUGAACUAGUGAAGAAAAAUUGUUCACAAUAGUUGACUAUUUUACUUUAUUUUAGUUACAAAAAAUGACUAUUUGUCAUUUAAACAUAUUUGUAUAUAAUUUAUGAGAAAAUAGAACAAAAUAUCGUUGAGUGACUUUUAAUUGUAACAUUUUGAGGUACAAAUUUUUACCUAAAAAGUCUUCUUUUCUUCUCUCAUUGGCAACUCAAUGGAAGAAUUACAGUGGUGAAUGCUAGAAAAAAGUAUGUAGAAAACCCUUAAUGACUUGCCAACCCUCAUUUUCCCGUGGCAACUGUUCACUUUGACUUAUGCAUAGUUGAUGAUUUUCAAAUUGUUCCUUUUCUCAUGCUAUAUACAUAUUUUUAUUCUCUUUUUUUCUUCCUCCCUCUCCGUGAGUUCUGACAUUCCCAUAUUUAAUUCCAUUUCUUUCCCACAUUGCCACCCAUUCAUUGCUUUUGGGGGGGUACAGGAAGAGGGAAACUAAUAAGAGUCCUUCAAAUCAAAAAAUUGUUACACUAACACGUGACCACUUGACUUCUUUUCCAUACAAUCAUUCGUCCGCCAGAGUGUAACCAUUAAAUACAGAUUUAUCCAUCAAGUUUCCACACCCCAAAAAUCCCAACAUCAUCCCUAUAUAGCCACCCCUCAGAGUCAUUUAGUGUCGUUAGGGCGAGCAGUUAAUGUUCAUUUCGUGGUUUUUACAGUUGCUCUAUAGCAUAAUAACUAUUGAAAUUCAUUAUUUCAUCGUCCAACUACUUUUCAAGUGAUGAAAAGUCACAGAAUAAUUGAUUGUGCACUUUGAAAGUUUCAACAUGGAAAAGCAAAUACCAACCACUUUAGUCUCAUGUAGUCGUAUCUCAACAAAUUUUUAUAUUACGCAUAUUAUUUAAUUUUACUAGGAGCUAUCUGUAUUGGGAAAAUUGUUAAAAAAAAAAUUAAAAGAGUCUAUGGAA